CCCUUAGAUGUUCUGGGCUGCACACGUGCUACACUGGCAGGUUCAGCGAGCUUCAUGCCCUGAUCUGAAAGGAAUGGGAAAUCUUUUCAAAACCUGCCGUGCUUGGGAUAGAUGUUUGCAAUUAUUCAUCUUCAACGAGGAUUGCCUUGUAAGCGCACGUCAUCAGCGUGCAUUGAAUACGACCCUGUAUUCUGUCCACACCGCCCGUCGCUCCUACCGAUUGAAGUUUUCGGUGAGUUGACAGGAGGAUUUUUUUGAAACUGGUUCGCCAGUGGAUUUUAGAUCCAAAUGCCAACGAAUCGAUGGCUUUAGAGGAAGGAGAAGUCGUAACA
This 332-nucleotide ribosomal RNA is filed under the name uncultured eukaryote. RNAcentral describes it as "partial 18S ribosomal RNA". It matches the Rfam family "Eukaryotic small subunit ribosomal RNA", at positions 1470 to 1796 of the family's 1831-position model. The record is from RNAcentral.